AAAACUCCGGUGGUGUGAGAUGGACCCGCGUCUGAUUAGGUAGUUGGUAAGGUAACGGCUUACCAAGCCGACGAUCAGUAGCCGGCCUGAGAGGGUGGACGGCCACAUUGGGACUGAGACACGGCCCAGACUCCUACGGGAGGCAGCAGUGGGGAAUAUUGCACAAUGGGGGAAACCCUGAUGCAGCGACGCCGCGUGAAGGAAGAAGUAUCUCGGUAUGUAAACUUCUAUCAGCAGGGAAGAAAAUGACGGUACCUGACUAAGAAGCCCCGGCUAACUAC
RNAcentral lists this ribosomal RNA (281 nucleotides) under uncultured bacterium. Its description in RNAcentral is "partial 16S ribosomal RNA". It matches the Rfam family "Bacterial small subunit ribosomal RNA", at positions 202 to 504 of the family's 1533-position model. The record is from RNAcentral.